This 1054-nucleotide ribosomal RNA is filed under the name uncultured archaeon. Its description in RNAcentral is "bacterial SSU rRNA". It matches the Rfam family "Archaeal small subunit ribosomal RNA", at positions 1 to 1055 of the family's 1478-position model. The record is from RNAcentral.
GCGGCCGCUCUGGUUGAUCCUGGCGGAGGUUACUGCUAUCGAGGUCCGACUAAGCCAUGCGAGUCGAAUGUAGCAAUACAUGGCGUACUGCUCAGUAACACGUGGACAACCUACCCUCAGCACGGGGAUAAACCCGGGAAACUGGGUAUAAUACCCGAUAGUUCUGGUAUGCUGGAAUGCUAUCAUGACGAAAGCUCCGGCGACUGAGGAUGGGUCUGCGGCCUAUCAGGUAGUAGUGGGUGUAAUGUACCUACUAGCCUACGACGGGUACGGGUCGUGAGAGCGAGAGCCCGGUGAUGGAUUCUGAGACACGAAUCCAGGCCCUACGGGGUGCAGCAGGCGCGAAAACUUUACAAUGCUGGCAACAGCGAUAAGGGGACCUCGAGUGCCAGGAUACAAUCCUGGCUGUCGUGAUGCCUAAAAAGCAUUGCAUAGCAAGGGCCGGGCAAGACCGGUGCCAGCCGCCGCGGUAACACCGGCGGCUCGAGUGGUAACCGCUAUUAUUGGGUCUAAAGGGUCUGUAGCCGGCCGGAUAAGUCUUUUUGGAAAUCCAGCUGCUCAACAGUUGGGCUUUCAGAAGAUACUGUUCGGCUCGAGACCGGGAGGGGUGAGAGGUACUUCAGGGGUAGGGGUGAAAUCUUGUAAUCCUUGAAGGACCACCAGUGGCGAAGGCGUCUCACCAGAACGGAUCUGACGGCAAGGGACGAAAGCUAGGGGCACGAACCGGAUUAGAUACCCGGGUAGUCCUAGCCGUAAACGGUACUCGCUAGGUGUCAGCCACGGUGAGACCGUGGUUGGUGCCGUAGGGAAGCCGUGAAGCGAGCCACCUGGGAAGUACGGCCGCAAGGCUGAAACUUAAAGGAAUUGGCGGGGGAGCACUACAACGGGUGGAGCUGCGGUUUAAUUAGAUUCAACGCCGGAAAGCUUACCGGGACCGACAGCGAUAUGAAGGCCAGGCUGAAGACCUUGCCGGAUUAGCUGAGAGGUGGUGCAUGGCCGUCGUCAGUUCGCACUGUGAAGCAUCCUGUUAAGUAAGACAACGAGCGAGACUCCA